UACCACAUCCAAGGAAGGCAGCAGGCACGCAAAUUACCCAAUCCCAGCUCUGGGAGGUAGUGACGAAAAAUAACAAUGCGGGACUCUUCCGAGUCUGCGUAAUUGGAAUGAGCACACUUUAAAUCCUUUAGCAACAACCAAUUGGAGGGCAAGUCUGGUGCCAGCAGCCGCGGUAAUUCCAGCUCCAAUAGCGUAUAUUAAAGUUGUUGCGGUUAAAAAGCUCGUAGUUCGAGUUCAGUUCCGGACUGGCCGGGGAGGUCACCGCCCGGUGCUUCCCCGUCAGGCUCCGAACAGCUUCCGUGAGUGGAAGCCAAGCCGGUUCUGCCGGGGUGCUCUUUACCGAGUGUCCCGCGCGGCCGGCCAGUUCACCUUGAAUAAAUGAGAGUGCUCAAAGCAGGCUACUCUCGAAUACAAUGCCCGAAUGUUACCUGCAUGGAAUGAUGGAAGAUGAUCUCGGUUCCAUUUUCUUGGUGGUGGGAGCCAGAGGUAAUGAUAAAGAGGGACUGUCGGGGGCAUCCGUACUACGACGCGAGAGGUGAAAU
RNAcentral lists this ribosomal RNA (542 nucleotides) under Palaemon serratus. Its description in RNAcentral is "bacterial SSU rRNA". It matches the Rfam family "Eukaryotic small subunit ribosomal RNA", at positions 408 to 917 of the family's 1831-position model. Lineage: Eukaryota; Metazoa; Arthropoda; Malacostraca; Decapoda; Palaemonidae. The record is from RNAcentral.